CGGUAAUACGGAGGGAGCUAGCGUUGUUCGGAAUUACUGGGCGUAAAGCGCACGUAGGCGGCUUUGUAAGUUAGAGGUGAAAGCCUGGAGCUCAACUCCAGAACUGCCUUUGAUACUGCAUGGCUUGAAUCCAGGAGAGGUGAGUGGAAUUCCGAGUGUAGAGGUGAAAUUCGUAGAUAUUCGGAAGAACACCAGUGGCGAAGGCGGCUCACUGGACUGGUAUUGACGCUGAGGUGCGAAAGCGUGGGGAGCAAACAGGAUUA
Molecule: ribosomal RNA, 263 nt
Filed under: Sphingomonas roseiflava
Lineage: Bacteria; Pseudomonadati; Pseudomonadota; Alphaproteobacteria; Sphingomonadales; Sphingomonadaceae
Description: partial 16S ribosomal RNA
Rfam family: Bacterial small subunit ribosomal RNA
Source: RNAcentral